RNAcentral lists this non-coding RNA (343 nucleotides) under Solanum tuberosum (potato). Its description in RNAcentral is "Bacterial small subunit ribosomal RNA". It matches the Rfam family "Bacterial small subunit ribosomal RNA", at positions 1066 to 1331 of the family's 1533-position model. Lineage: Eukaryota; Viridiplantae; Streptophyta; Magnoliopsida; Solanales; Solanaceae. The record is from Rfam by way of RNAcentral.
UGGGAAGGGUAGAGACUAGAGUGUAUGCGAACCUUACCCCUGCCUCAAGGAGGUAGAGAGGUAAAACCCACCGGGUGGUGUGGUACGUAGUGGCUUUAGAACGCCCCACCCAAACAAACGGCUCCAAAACAAACAAAAAGGUGUGCCGCACUCACAAAGGACUGCCAGUGAUAUGCUGGAGGAAGAUGGGGAUGACGUCAAGUCCGCAUGGCCCUUAUGGGUUGGGCCACACACGUGCUACAACGGCAAUUACAAUGGGAAGCAAGGCUGUACGGCGGAGCGAAUCCAAAACGAUUGCCUCAGUUUGAAUUGUUCCCUGCAACUCGGGAACAUGAAGUUGGAA